GCUGGGCGUGGUGGUGCCCACCUGUAAUCCCAGCAGCUCAGGAGGCUGAGGCAGGAGGGUUGCAAGUUCAAAGCCAGAGACCUAGUGAGGCCUUGAUCAACUUAAUGAGACCUUGUCUCAU
This 121-nucleotide small RNA is filed under the name Marmota monax (woodchuck). The record is from RNAcentral. Lineage: Eukaryota; Metazoa; Chordata; Mammalia; Rodentia; Sciuridae.